CAACUUCAGAAAGGGAUCUCUUUGAAUGGUUGUUACAAAAACACAACCUAAUCGACCCCUCACAGCCACACAAUGACCCUAUACUGAUUUGCUUUUUCUUUUUACACAAAUUCUUUGGUGGCAACAAGUCUCAUGUGCUAUUUUUUCACAAAUUCUUUGGUGCCAACAAGUCUCUAAGAUGAUGAUGGUUUUGCUAUGGAAAUGCUUUGAAAAUCAAUGGAGAACAAAAGAGACGAGUGAAAUUGCAUAUGUAGAUUGGAAACAUCUAUAUAAUUUUUUACUAGUUUAAAUGUGCACGUGUAAGCAUUUAUUUUCCUACACAUGUGUAAACCAUCUAUGCACAUAUGUGUAAGUGUAGAUUUGAAUUAUGUAUGAGCUAAGUUCAUUUUUUUUCAUUUUUUUUGUUAUAUGGAUGAUGAAUUUGGAGACAUGUGUUAGCAUUUAUUUUCUUACACAAGUGUAAAACAUCUAUCUACAUAUAUGUAAGCGUAGAUUUGAAUUAU
This 503-nucleotide long non-coding RNA is filed under the name Helianthus annuus (common sunflower). RNAcentral's name for it is "hypothetical non coding rna". Lineage: Eukaryota; Viridiplantae; Streptophyta; Magnoliopsida; Asterales; Asteraceae. The record is from RNAcentral.